This is a long non-coding RNA of Hibiscus syriacus, 256 nucleotides long. RefSeq lists it as uncharacterized. Lineage: Eukaryota; Viridiplantae; Streptophyta; Magnoliopsida; Malvales; Malvaceae. The record is from RefSeq and is a predicted model, not a curated record. The transcript has 3 exons.
GACAUUCAACGAGAUACAGAAGUUGCUCAAUAAAACCGAUGGGCAGGUGGUUACCGGCUCCAUUAGUUGUACGUGAAACGACUAACCUUGAGGACGCUGCUAGAUUAUUGCUCAAGACAAAAUAUGGUCGCCUUCCGGUUGUUGAUAUGGAGGGUAAACUGCUAAACGGGCAUCAUCACAAGGGGAGAUGUUAUAAGAGCUGCUCUUAAAAUAAAGCGUGAUAGCCAAGGAUACAGUAAUUAGGAAGAAACUCGUG